Tachysurus fulvidraco (yellow catfish) is the source of this 327-nucleotide long non-coding RNA. RefSeq lists it as uncharacterized. The record is from RefSeq and is a predicted model, not a curated record. Lineage: Eukaryota; Metazoa; Chordata; Actinopteri; Siluriformes; Bagridae. The transcript is spliced from 3 exons.
ACACACACACACACACACACACACACACACACACACACGAGCACGUUUCCGUGUAUCCCAGAGCAGCUAGUUUAUUGUGAGCACGCAGAAAUGUUCCUUAUCCACAGGCGUCAGUACUUACAGUCUCUCUCUCUCUCUCUCUCUCUCUCUCUCUCUAACUAUUGCAGGAAACCGACAGGCCCACUGACGUCAGCGGGGGUCCCGUCUCCGCCUCCCGAACAGAGGAAGUGCAGCCAGCUUAGGACUGGCGGUUUUCCCGGAGGUUCCUUCUUGUUAGGUCACGUUGUGUCCCUCAACUAGUGCCCGGGCUUUCCCUUCCACACCUCU